RNAcentral lists this ribosomal RNA (203 nucleotides) under Thalassiosira minuscula. Its description in RNAcentral is "partial Bacterial small subunit ribosomal RNA". It matches the Rfam family "Bacterial small subunit ribosomal RNA", at positions 603 to 804 of the family's 1533-position model. The record is from RNAcentral. Lineage: Eukaryota; Bacillariophyta; Thalassiosirophyceae; Thalassiosirales; Thalassiosiraceae.
CGCAGCUUAACUGCGGGGUUGCAGGCGAUACGGGCAUAACUUGAGUGCAGUAGGGGAGACUGGAAUUCCUGGUGUAGCGGUGGAAUGCGCAGAUAUCAGGAGGAACACCGAUGGCGAAGGCAGGUCUCUGGGCAGUAACUGACGCUGAGGAGCGAAAGCAUGGGGAGCGAACAGGAUUAGAUACCCUGGUAGUCCACGCCGUA